UGCUUUACACAUGCAAGUCGAACGGCAGCACGGACUUCGGUCUGGUGGCGAGUGGCGAACGGGUGAGUAAUGCAUCGGAACGUGCCCAAUCGUGGGGGAUAACGUAGCGAAAGUUACGCUAAUACCGCAUACGAUCUAAGGAUGAAAGCGGGGGAUCGCAAGACCUCGCGCGAAUGGAGCGGCCGAUGUUAGAUUAGGUAGUUGGUGGGGUAAAGGCUCACCAAGCCGACGAUCUAUAGCUGGUCUGAGAGGAUGAUCAGCCACACUGGGACUGAGACACGGUCCAGACUCCUACGGGAGGCAGCAGUGGGGAAUUUUGGACAAUGGGCGAAAGCCUGAUCCAGCCAUACCGCGUGAGUGAAGAAGGCCUUCGGGUUGUAAAGCUC
This 386-nucleotide ribosomal RNA is filed under the name uncultured organism. RNAcentral's name for it is "bacterial SSU rRNA". It matches the Rfam family "Bacterial small subunit ribosomal RNA", at positions 45 to 433 of the family's 1533-position model. The record is from RNAcentral.